RNAcentral lists this transfer RNA (71 nucleotides) under Dielma fastidiosa. RNAcentral describes it as "Clostridiaceae bacterium JC13 tRNA". It matches the Rfam family "tRNA". Rfam says of the family: Transfer RNA (tRNA) molecules are approximately 80 nucleotides in length. Their secondary structure includes four short double-helical elements and three loops (D, anti-codon, and T loops). The record is from Rfam by way of RNAcentral. Lineage: Bacteria; Bacillati; Bacillota; Erysipelotrichia; Erysipelotrichales; Erysipelotrichaceae.
AGGAGGAUGGUCAAGUGGUAAGACGACAGAUUCUGGCUCUGUAAUCGAGGGUUCGAUCCCUUCUCCUCCUG